GAUAACAAAAGGCGAUGUGAUUAAUUAUUUAUGUGUGAUGUGUUGAGAAAAGUUUGAUGGCUUGUUGAAUCAUUGUUGAUGUGAUUUCAUGUUUGUGUGGUUGUGAACUGUGCAAUGUUAUGAAAAUGGUCAUCUCCUCAUUAUUUGUGUGGACAUGUCAUUGCAUUAUUCUGAGACAUGGUUGUGAAAGUGUUAUGUGCAUUGAGAAAGAAUGAUAACUUAAAGAGGAUGUACCAUUUCGAGGGACGUAUCGCGCGCCGCGAUGGAUACUAUAUUUCGAGGGACGUAUCGCGCGCCGCGAUGGAUACUAUAUUUCGAGGGACGUAUCGCACGCCGUGAUGGUUACUGUUAUCGAGGGUCGUGUCGUGCGCCGCGACAGAUGCAUGGACAGAUAUGUCCUCCAUGGGUCCCGGACUGAGAGACAGCGGGUGUGUAUCACUAGGUCAGACAUGCAUCAUUAUACUUGACAUUGCAUUCCAUUACAUUGCACAUACUUAUCAUUAGUGAACUUGAUAUUGUGUUUUGCUGAUCUAGUGAUUGCCUUUUUGCGGAACUUGUGAUUGUUGAAUACUGAGCUUGUUAUUGAGGAUAUAUAAUUUGUUAAAGUGUUGUUGUGGAGGAUAUGUAAUUUGUUAAAGUGUUGUUGUGGAGGAUAUGUAAUUUGUCUAUAUGUUUUUGUUGAGUUACGUUCUAUGUAAACUGUGAGUUGUUAGGUUGGGUUGAUGUUUAUGCAGGUUGUAGUUGUGGAGGUUCGGUUGGGGGUGGUAGGAGUACCCGUAUAUCAUCCCCUUAGCUUGUGUUUAGAGGUUUACUUGCUGAGUACCGUGUAGUUUGGUACUCACCCCUUGCUUCUACAAAUUUUUGUAGGUUACUAGCCCAAACUUUUAUGAUAUAUUCUCUUCUUUUCCGAGGCUUCCUGGAGAUUUUGUGAGGUAGUUGUUGGUCGUCUCAGCAUCCCUCCUUACUCUUGUUUAUGAUUUUGUUCUACUCUAGAAACAAUAUCAUAUGAGACUUAUAUUUUCUUUUGAUCCGAUUGUAAUACUUUAGAGGCUUGUACACGUGACAACCAGGUUUUGGGGUAUAAUGUAAGUUGAUAGUAAAUUUUCCGCAUUUUUAUUGUAAUAGUUGAGUUUUAGGCUUACUUGUCUUGGUGGGAUAAGACGAGUGCCAUCACGUCCAUUUUUGGGUCGUGACAAAAUGGUAUCAGAGCCCCAGGUUCAUAGGUCUCACGUGUGUACAAGUCGAGUCUAAAUAGAGUCUUGAUGAUCGGUACGGAGACGUCUGUACCUAUCUUCGAGAGAUUAUAGUGACUUUUAGGAAAUAUCUUCAAUUCUUGGAUCUCUCUUGUGCGUACUUGGUCCCAUUUGAUUCUUAUUGCUUCACUCCAUUCGCUCUCGUUUACGUGAUGACUCGUGUGUAGUUCCUUUUGUGAAUCAGUGGCAUGUCGUGUAUUGGUUUGAUGUUAGAUCUCAUAUUAAUGUGGAAAUGAUAUACUUAUGAAACGAAUGCGUGAUCAUUUUUAAAAGAGUUGAGUAAGAUUAGUUAUCAUUGUAAAAUAAUAAUAAUAAAUAUAGUACUUAUCUGGUCUAAGCAAAAUAUGGAGUGGUUCGACAAUUAGAAGUUAAAUGUUUGAAGAAUUAACUAGAUAAUAAAUAGUGUAACCUUGAAAAAUACAAUUGAUAUAGUUGUCAUACCAUUAAUGAGUUGCUUAGCAAAUGAUGUUGCACCAAUUCAGGUCAGAAUCCCUUAUGUGGUUUCACAGAUUGAGUGCAUACCAAAGAAGGUCAUGAUACGACUAUUACAAUGGUAUUGAUGGGUACUUGGUUAGAAUUAUGGAGUGUGUUACUUUUGAUAUUGACCUUGCUUACGAAAGGAUACAUAUAGCUUGGGUUAGAUACAAAACUAAUCUGGUAAUAUUUUACAGCUAUUUGAUGGAUAAAGUGUGUGACUUAUUUGGAAAUGAUCUUCUCGAUAGAUAUGAUAUGUUCUAGUGGUGGAUGUAAUGAAUUUUCACGAUGUGUUACUAGUGGUACAUGAAAAUGGACAUGUUGAUUGUUAAGUGAAAAUACUAACUACUUUAGGAGUUAUCUAUUGUAUUACAUGCUCAUAUGAUAAGAUUUGGUGUUGAAUUCACAUUAGAGAUACCAACUAGCUUGUUAGUACGAGUGGAUGUGUUAAGCAUUAUUUAUAAGGAAGCUUUUAGUGGUGGAUCCUUGGUAUGAUAUUAAUAUGUUCAGGUUGUAAAAUGUAUUUUGUGGAUUGUAAAUGAGUGUUGAUUUCAUCUUAAAUUUCGUGGAAGUGGAAAUAUGGAUGAUAAACUUACAAGUAAAGGAAAUCUCAAAAAGUAUACUUGUGUGAAUGUAAUUGAGAAUUUUAGUAAGAAAGUGCAUAUAAAUUGAGUAAUUACCUUGGAUGGUUGGCAUAGCUAGGUUUGUAUUGUCAUGUUAAUGGCGAGGCUAAAUUCGUAGUGAGGGAAAUCACGAACUAAGCAUGAUGAUUAUAAGAUUUUAUGACGCAUUACGAUUGAAAUGCAACUAUAUGAUACGGGUGUUGGUUAAAAUAAUUUUUUUAUGGUAAUGAUGAAUUUUGAGUAUCUAAGGUUAUGGUUGUUUCUAUUUCAUAAGUAGUGUGGUUUUAUGGUAAUUUUUAUAAGGAGUUGGGAUGUGAUCGAAUAAAAUUGAAAGGAGCUAGAGCCAUAAUGGAAAGAAUUAGUGGUAAAUAGUUUAACUUUCAGAGCGAGGAUAAAACUAGGCUAUUUUACUUUGUUUGCAAGGGUUGAGGAUGUAUCUUCAGAGGAAUUUGGAGAAUUGGGUUCAGAGACAAGUGGUUUUACCUGUUUCUUCCAGAUUAUGAUAUAAUAUAGUGUCACAAGAUCAAUAGAUUGAUUAAAAAAAAAUAACCUAUUGGAAAAAAUUUGAGAAAGGAGUGUACAGACGUUCAAUUCGAGUAUGAUGAUUAUUUCUUUUUUUGGUUUUGAUUUUGUAAGGAGUACGAUAAGAUUUUUAAAAAAAAGAUAUGGUAGGGUCAAUGAAGAGGCGAUCAACAAUAAGCUAAAAUACGUUAAGUAAUUUUUUUUUUGUAUGAGCUAAUGUUGUAAGAUAAUGGGAUUGUGUUACAUGGUUGGGAUCAAAACUUCAAGUUUACAUGGCGAGUUUAGAUUUGUGAUAGUGUAUCUUGUCAAGGUAUGAAUUGGUAAGGUAAGAAAUAAUCGAUCACAUUGAGUAUGAAGCAUUUAGAAGGACUUAAAAUUUGAGUAGUACAUUUGGUUACUUUUGAUUGUUAUACCUAAGGUUUCCCAUAUUGUUGGCCAAAAAAAUAUAUAUAUAUAAGACUGGUAAGUGAGUUAGCAAAAAGGAGAAAAAUUAUGGUGUAUUGAAGAGUUAAAAUUAUUUGAAAUUUCCGUCGUGGAAAGAUUUUAAGAAAGGCAAAGGAACAAUAAGACCUCUCGUACAAACAUUGGAUUCGGAGGUGAUGGUUGUAGUGAUUUCGCCUUUGAGUUUAGAUAUGACUAUGAGAUGUGAACUAGUUCGGCACCUACUUACUAUGGGUGUAUUAUUAACUUUUCUAAAUAUUAAGUUUUGAUUGGGUUACAAUAAAUGACGUAUGGAAGAUUAUAUAUGGUUAUGUCGAGCUAGAUUGUUCAGAAUGUGAUUAAGUAAUAAAUGGAUGUUAAAUAGUGUGGACCUACAAUUUUACAUGAUUAAUGAGGAUUGGAGGGGAUUAAAAUUAUUUUGUUGACGAGACAAAAUAGAUUGUUAUAAUGUGUUACGUAGACAUUUUAUGGUGAGUAGAGGUUAUGAGAUUAUAGUAUACAUUAAUAUUGGAAUGAUCAAGGGUUCUUUGAGUUAUCACAUGAGGUAAAUGAUAGUACAGAUGGUGGUUGAAAAUGGUAUGUGAAAGUUUAGGUGAAGUUGACAUUAAGUGUUUCUUUUUUAAUUUUACCCUAAAGGAGAAAUAUAGAUUUGAAAUUAGUGUUAUCGGUCUUGGGUGUGACUUAUAUCUAUCACGGGAUGCUUAAAUGGAAAGAUAAGAAACCAUAGUUCAAAGUCUUGGAGACUACAAUGUACUUGCUAAGGAGAAUGUAAUACUACUGACGGUGUGAAAGUAAGGUAAGUGGUUGGUAUGGUUAUGAUAUUUGUUAAUAUUAAUAGUGUUGGCUUUGAUGGAGUACUGUGAGAAGUAUGCGGGGUUUGGCAAAUCCAGCAUGUGUAAAAUUGUAAUAGAGAUCAGCUGGUUGAUUUUGGGUAAAAAAAAAUUAAAUAAAAAAAAUAAAUAAAUUGAGGGAUAUAGUUAGAUGAAUGAAAAUAUUGAUAUGGGAUUAUGGAGAAAGUAUCUAGUGUUAUUCGACCUUGAUUCCGUAUAAUCUUAAGUUGACCACCUACUUCGUUUCGGACAUGAUUUGGAGUAUGAUUCACUGCAUAUGCCCACAUUUUUUUACAUCUAUGGGUGAAUUCCUAGUGGUGGAUCGGAUGUGCCGAUCCUCUUAUAUUCUCUUGAUAGGGUAUGUUCUUUAGGCAGACUAGGUCACUUCAGUUAUGACAUAUUUGAUGUUGUUUGAAAAAUUAGAAAUAUAUCACUAUUUUUAUAUGCACAACCUUGCUUAUGGGAACUUACAAAAGAGCUUUCAUGAAUAGUUAUGGUUAUCCGACAGUGUUGUAAAAGGUUCUGCAUCCUAGCGUGUACCAUUUGUUGGGUGCUUACUUGAUCUGUUCUUCAUUGGAUUAGAUAUGUUUGAUUAUCCCUUGAUGAGUAUUCGAUGUCUAAAGAUCAAAUUUUCAUAGUUUAAGCUCAUGGAAAGAUUAGGUUAUGACAAGGGAAUCUUGAUAAGGUCUAUGAUGAUUUGUGUAAUAGGUGUAUGUGAUCGUUGAUCUAGGUUCACUUCAGAUUGUAGUGGGUAUGAAUUCAGAACGUUAUCUUUGUUAUGUAAGAAAAGAUUUGUUGUGAUGAUUGUGUUAUGUUCCAGUAGGUUUCAGUUGAGAUUGGGUUCAUUGGUUGGUUUAUGGCGUGAUAUGUAAAUCUUCCGAAGUUUCGUUCAAAACAUCAGUUCUUGGUAGUUGAUAUUUAAUGGAACGUGCUAAAGAUGAAUUGAUCACUUGGAGAGAUGAACACGACUUUGAAAAUCAUACCUCAAGUUUUUGGUCGUGUUAGUUAUUCUUCCUUCUCCUACUUUAUGUUCGAGGACGAACAUGAUUUUUAGUGGUGGAUAAUGUAAUGAUCCUCUUAGUCGUUUUAGAAAUUUUAACCAGCAUUAUUAUAUUAACCUUUUUAGUAGAUUUUGUAAAUAAUUUAUAUGACUUAUAAGAAUGAGUGACAUAAUUUUUAGAUUUAAUAAAGACUUAUUUUACUGCUAAGAAUAAUGAAAAAGGAAAAAAAAAGAAAAUCAAAUAAUAUAAUAAAAUAAAAUAAAAUAAUUACAAAAGGGGGCAAAGUGCCCUAAACUUAUAAAGCCUGUGACGGCUAUAUGAGUAAAAAAAAAAGAACGAUGUGAAAAAAGAACAGAGAAGAAAAGAAAAGAAAGGGAGAAAAGAAAAGGAAAAAGGAGGAGAAAAAUCAAUAUUUUCAUCUCAAGGCGUCAAGGUAAUUAUUUUCAUCCUUUCUAUUAAGUUUUUAUGCAAUUAGAAGUAGAUUUUUAGAUUAAAACGUGUAUAAUUUACACUAAUAUAUGAAACUAAUUUUUAAUUUUGUGUACAUGUAUGCAUAUGUUAUUUAGCAUAAAUUUCACCUUAGUCAUUAAGUAAUUAUGACCAAUUGUCGAUGAUGAUAAAACAAUUAUUGGGAAGAGAGGUAAAUAGACAUGCAAGAAGCUUUCCGUAUAAAAGUAUUUCAUGAAAUAUCUUUAUUUUGGUGUUCAAAUACGGGUGAUAUAAAUUGGGAUCAAUUUGAGAUCCUUUUAAUAGUUUCCAUAUUAUCAUUUAAGUUUUGAUAUAUUAAUUUAUAUAAUUAAGUAUUAGGUAUAUGGUAUUAAGUGAAUGUCUUAAGAUUUAUGAUAUUGAAAAGAAAUUAAAAAUUUAAUCCUAAUCUUGAAACUUAAGAACGUAAUUAUAAAUUUGCGUGAGUUUUUUUUUGGUUUAGUCUAGACACGUGCAAUAUGUGUGUUGUUAACUUCGAAACCUUAUAGUGUUUAAUUAUUUGAAUAGACUAGAUUUUAUUUGGAAGUGCAACAAAGGAGGAAGGCUAAAGUCCCGAAGUGAUUGUUCGAUAAAUUGAGGCAAGUGGAUUUCUAAACUCUUGUUAAGUGUAUGGAAUGCGUGUAUUUCCUUGUGAUAUAUGUUUGGGAGUAACGGGAUUGGUGAUGGGUUGACUUGUCCACAUUGAUUAAUUCUAAUGAUGAAAUAAAAGGGAUAACAAAAGGCGAUGUGAUUAAUUAUUUAUGUGUGAUGUGUUGAGAAAAGUUUGAUGGCUUGUUGAAUCAUUGUUGAUGUGAUUUCAUGUUUGUGUGGUUGUGAACUGUGCAAUGUUAUGAAAAUGGUCAUCUCCUCAUUUUUUGUGUGGACAUGUCAUUGCAUUAUUCUGAGACAUGGUUGUGAAAGUGUUAUGUGCAUUGAGAAAGAAUGAUAACUUAAAGAGGAUGUACCAUUUCGAGGGACGUAUCGCGCGCCGCGAUGGAUACUAUAUUUCGAGGGACGUAUCGCGCGCCGCGAUGGAUACUAUAUUUCGAGGGACGUAUCGCACGCUGCGAUGGUUACUGUUAUCGAGGGUCGUGUCGUGCGCCGCGACAGAUGCAUGGACAGAUAUGUCCUCCAUGGGUCCCGGACUGAGAGACAGCGGGUGUGUAUCACUAGGUCAGACAUGCAUCAUUAUACUUGACAUUGCAUUCCAUUACAUUGCACAUACUUAUCAUUAGUGAACUUGAUAUUGUGUUUUGCUGAUCUAGUGAUUGCCUUUUUGCGGAACUUGUGAUUGUUGAAUACUGAGCAUGUUAUUGAGGAUAUAUAAUUUGUUAAAGUGUUGUUGUGGAGGAUAUAUAAUUUGUUAAAGUGUUGUUGUGGAGGAUAUGUAAUUUGUCUAUAUGUUUUUGUUGAGUUACGUUCUAUGUAAACUGUGAGUUGUUAGGUUGGGUUGAUGUUUAUGCAG
RNAcentral lists this long non-coding RNA (7074 nucleotides) under Solanum lycopersicum (tomato). RNAcentral describes it as "long non-coding RNA (SLYC_LNC001039)". Lineage: Eukaryota; Viridiplantae; Streptophyta; Magnoliopsida; Solanales; Solanaceae. The record is from RNAcentral.